AACGAACGCUGGCGGCAGGCCUAACACAUGCAAGUCGAGCGAGGUAGCGAUACCUAGCGGCGGACGGGUGAGUAACGCGUGGGAACGUACCCUUUGGUUCGGAAUAGCCCUGGGAAACUGGGAGUAAUACCGGAUACGGUCGAGAGACGAAAGAUUUAUCGCCGAAGGAUCGGCCCGCGUUGGAUUAGCUAGUUGGUGGGGUAAAGGCCUACCAAGGCGACGAUCCAUAGCUGGUCUGAGAGGAUGAUCAGCCACACUGGGACUGAGACACGGCCCAGACUCCUACGGGAGGCAGCAGUGGGGAAUAUUGGACAAUGGGCGAAAGCCUGAUCCAGCAAUGCCGCGUGAGUGAUGAAGGCCUUAGGGUUGUAAAGCUCUUUUACCCGAGAUGAUAAUGACAGUAUCGGGAGAAUAAGCUCCGGCUAACUCCGUG
RNAcentral lists this ribosomal RNA (433 nucleotides) under uncultured bacterium. RNAcentral describes it as "bacterial SSU rRNA". It matches the Rfam family "Bacterial small subunit ribosomal RNA", at positions 29 to 507 of the family's 1533-position model. The record is from RNAcentral.